UUUACAGUUGUAUAACCUGCAUGUAACUCAGAGUGCAUUUAAUAUUUGUAUGAUGGGUCAUUCUAUGAUUGAAUUUAAAUCAGAAAAAUAUUCACUAAAUUUUGGUAAAAUACAUGGUAUCUUUUACAUUUCUGUCCCUUUUGUCUGUAAAUUAUUGCUUUACUUACAUUGUAAAAUGAGGUUAAAUGUGUAUCACUGAAUUGUAUGAUUUUUUCAGGAUCAGCUGAGAUGUUAUUUCACUGGAUUAUUUAAUGGAUAGGCUUAUUGGGCAUAUAGUUGGAUAUCUCUGGAUCAGCUGAGAUGUUAUUUCACUGGAUUAUUUAAUGGAUAGGCUUAUUGGGCAUAUAGUUGGAUAUCUCUGUCAUCAACAUGGAAGAUAUGUUUGUUCCUUACCAUCUGUAAUCAAUUCUCUAUGAAGUUCAGACUGUCUGCCCUUCCUUUGGAAAUACACAGUUAGUCAAUCAACAUAGAAACACACAAACUUGAAGGAUUCUCUAGUGAGGGCUUAUGGAAAUGAUCUAUGUCUACUCUCAGAAUGGUGAAAGACUAUCAGAUUAUGCAAAGACUAACAGAAUAUCCUCUCUUGGAACACUGAAACAAGAAAACCAAACUUAAGAGGAUGGAGGAUUUAAGAAGCACAUAGAUAAAUAUGAUUUCCAACGAAUUUAACCAGUAUUAUCAUAGACUGUGGUUUACAGGAUGACAAAGAAAGGACCCAUGAUUGUAUCUUUCACUGUCAGACACUGAGUAUGGAUAAACUGUUAUCAUUUAUCAGACUGAGAUCUAGUCAAAUCAAGUAUUGAAAAUAUGAUUUCUGAUAGCAUGAGCUCUUUAAAAACUAAUUCUCACGGACCUCAAAGUAUCUGAAUGUGACUUUUAUUUUUACCAAUUCAUAUUGAAGACUGUUGUUAUGUAUGAGAAUAUACAUUUAAACCUUUUAUUUUUCAUCUUAUUUUUACAACACACUAGAAAUUACACAGAUAUUCAGAUGCUGGAUUUAAUGUUAUUAUUUAACUUUCCUGGAAUUGUAAAUAUAUUUUGUUUGUGUAUGUAUCAUGUUUAAUUUUGAAUUUAAAAUUGGUCUCAAUAAGACCCCCAAUAAAGAUGCAAGUGUCCCAUAAUCUGUGGUUUAAUAAUAUCUUGAAUAUCUUUAUCAUACCAUAUUCAUCAUACUAAUUACAUAUAGAAUGGUUGUAGGAAUACACUUUGUUGUUUAGGACACUUUGUCAAGGUCAAAGCAUAAGAUUAUUGAGAUAACUACCUUUGACAAUAAUUUGUAACUUACAAACUUCACAUCAUAAGUACACAGAUGAAGAAUCAAUAAGAUAUUUCUAUAGAUUUUUUGGAUCAUUUACUCCUGGGUAAAAGUUAGUUACUUACUGAGAUUACUGAUUUGAGUCCUGUAAUGCAAUAACUUAAACAUUGUGUGAUAACUUAUAGACUUUAUAAAAAUUAGGUGCAAAUUCUUAGGAAAGGAUUGAAAUGUUAAUCAAAUGUACAAUGUUCAAGGGUGUUUAUAUGACUAUUACUAUGUAAUACCUAGGGUUUCUGUAAAAAUCCUAUAUUCACUACAUAGAUAAAGACCGGUAUAAUAUAUAUUUUAAACUAUGAUGAAGGGAAAAAAAAGUUCAAAAGCUCUCCCCUUCAUAUCUUUCAUAUUCUGUCAUACACAACAAUAGAUAAAUUGCAGUCAUUUAACAAACUGAGGUCUAAUCAAAUCCUAGAAUUGAUAUUGUGAUUUUCUGAUAGUAUGAAAUCUUCAAAAAAAAAAAAAAAUAAUUCCCAGACUUCAAAGUAUCUAAAUGUGACUUUUAUUUUUACCAAUUCAUAUUGAAGACAGUUGUUAUGUAUGAGAAGUAUACAUUUAAACCUUUUAUUUUUCAUCUUAUUUCUACAACCCCUAACAAAUUACACAGAUGUUUAAAAGCUAGCUUUGGUGUAAUUAUUACUUUCCUGGAACUGUAAAUACAUUUUGUUUGUGUAUGUGUGUGUGUGUGUGUAUUUUGAAUUUAAUAGGUCUCAAUAGGACCCCCAUAAAGAUGUAAGUGUCCCCUGAUCUGUGAUGUAAUAAUAUCUUGAAUAUUUCUAUCAACCAUUAGACUUCAUGCUUACUACACAGAACAGGUUAGAGUAAUACACUUAGUUUUAUAGGACACUUUGUCAGGGUCAAAGCAUGAGAUUAUUGAGAUAACUACCUUUGACAAUAAUUUGUAACCUGCAAAAUUCACAUCAUAAGUAAAGAAA
Saccostrea cuccullata (small rock oyster) is the source of this 2244-nucleotide long non-coding RNA. RefSeq lists it as uncharacterized. The transcript is spliced from 4 exons. The record is from RefSeq and is a predicted model, not a curated record. Lineage: Eukaryota; Metazoa; Mollusca; Bivalvia; Ostreida; Ostreidae.